ACCCAUCUCUGCUACACACCAUAUAUUGAGUUCCCCAAAACUCGUCCAUCCAAUAACACCAUUUGUGGACAAACAAGCCAUCACAUACAUGCCGAUAAAUGGCCACAUACCACAUUGUGGACAAACCACCACAUAUUUGCCGAUAAUAGCCAUAUAAUCGCAGAUAAACUGCCACAUAACUUCCAACUUUCACAAAACCCCAC
This 203-nucleotide long non-coding RNA is filed under the name Gossypium barbadense (sea-island cotton). Its description in RNAcentral is "long non-coding RNA (GBAR_LNC019146)". The record is from RNAcentral. Lineage: Eukaryota; Viridiplantae; Streptophyta; Magnoliopsida; Malvales; Malvaceae.